AUUGAACGCUGGCGGCAGGCUUAACACAUGCAAGUCGAGCGGGGGAAGGUGCUUCGGUACUGGACCUAGCGGCGGACGGGUGAGUAAAGCUUAGGAAUCUGCCUAUUAGUGGGGGACAACAUCUCGAAAGGGAUGCUAAUACCGCAUACGACCUACGGGGGAAAGCAGGGGCUCGUAAGACCUUGCGCUAAUAGAUGAGCCUAAGUCAGAUUAGCUAGUUGGUGGGGUAAAGGCCUACCAAGGCGACGAUCUGUAGCGGGUCUGAGAGGAUGAUCCGCCACACUGGGACUGAGACACGGCCCAGACUCCUACGGGAGGCAGCAGUGGGGAAUAUUGGACAAUGGGGGGAACCCUGAUCCAGCCAUGCCGCGUGUGUGAAGAAGGCCUUAUGGUUGUAAAGCACUUUAAGCGAGGAGGAGGCUUACUUGGAUAAUACCUAAGAUAAGUGGACGUUACUCGCAGAAUAAGCACCGGCUAACUUUGUGCCAGCAGCCGCGGUAAUACAGAGGGUGCGAGCGUUAAUCGGAUUUACUGGGCGUAAAGCGUGCGUAGGCGGCUGAUUAAGUCGGAUGUGAAAUCCCCGAGCUCAACUUGGGAAUUGCAUACGAUACUGGUCGGCUAGAGUAUGGGAGAGGAUGGUAGAAUUCCAGGUGUAGCGGUGAAAUGCGUAGAGAUCUGGAGGAAUACCGAUGGCGAAGGCAGCCAUCUGGGCCUAAUACUGACGCUGAGGUACGAAAGCAUGGGGAGCAAACAGGAUUAGAUACCCUGGUAGUCCAUGCCGUAAACGAUGUCUACUAGCCGUUGGGGCCUUUGAGGCUUUAGUGGCGCAGCUAACGCGAUAAGUAGACCGCCUGGGGAGUACGGUCGCAAGACUAAAACUCAAAUGAAUUGACGGGGGCCCGCACAAGCGGUGGAGCAUGUGGUUUAAUUCGAUGCAACGCGAAGAACCUUACCUGGCCUUGACAUAGUGAGAACGAUCUAGAGAUAGAUUGGUGCCUUCGGGAAUUCACAUACAGGUGCUGCAUGGCUGCCGUCAGCUCGUGUCGUGAGAUGUUGGGUUAAGUCCCGCAACGAGCGCAACCCUUUUCCUUACUUGCCAGCAUUUCGGAUGGGAACUUUAAGGAUACUGCCAGUGACAAACUGGAGGAAGGCGGGGACGACGUCAAGUCAUCAUGGCCCUUACGGCCAGGGCUACACACGUGCUACAAUGGUCGGUACAAAGGGUUGCUACCUAGCGAUAGGAUGCUAAUCUCAAAAAGCCGAUCGUAGUCCGGAUUGGAGUCUGCAACUCGACUCCAUGAAGUCGGAAUCGCUAGUAAUCGCGGAUCAGAAUGCCGCGGUGAAUACGUUCCCGGGCCUUGUACUCACCGCCC
This 1373-nucleotide ribosomal RNA is filed under the name uncultured bacterium. Its description in RNAcentral is "bacterial SSU rRNA". It matches the Rfam family "Bacterial small subunit ribosomal RNA", at positions 28 to 1395 of the family's 1533-position model. The record is from RNAcentral.